RNAcentral lists this ribosomal RNA (253 nucleotides) under uncultured bacterium. RNAcentral describes it as "partial 16S ribosomal RNA". It matches the Rfam family "Bacterial small subunit ribosomal RNA", at positions 524 to 776 of the family's 1533-position model. The record is from RNAcentral.
UACGUAGGGCGCAAGCGUUGUCCGGAAUUAUUGGGCGUAAAGAGCUCGUAGGCGGUUUGUCGCGUCUGCUGUGAAAACCCGAGGCUCAACCUCGGGCCUGCAGUGGGUACGGGCAGACUAGAGUGCGGUAGGGGAGAUUGGAAUUCCUGGUGUAGCGGUGGAAUGCGCAGAUAUCAGGAGGAACACCAAUGGCGAAGGCAGAUCUCUGGGCCGUAACUGACGCUGAGGAGCGAAAGCGUGGGGAGCAAACAGG